RNAcentral lists this ribosomal RNA (253 nucleotides) under uncultured bacterium. Its description in RNAcentral is "partial 16S ribosomal RNA". It matches the Rfam family "Bacterial small subunit ribosomal RNA", at positions 524 to 776 of the family's 1533-position model. The record is from RNAcentral.
UACGUAGGGGGCAAGCGUUGUCCGGAUUUAUUGGGCGUAAAGAGCGUGUAGGCGGCCAGGUAGGUCAGCUGUGAAAACUCGAGGCUUAACCUCGAGACGCCGGCUGAAACCCUCUGGCUAGAGUCCGGAAGAGGAGAGCGGAAUUCCUGGUGUAGCGGUGAAAUGCGCAGAUAUCAGGAAGAACACCCGUGGCGAAGGCGGCUCUCUGGGCCGAUACUGACGCUGAGGAGCGAAAGCGUGGGGAGCGAACAGG